This 433-nucleotide ribosomal RNA is filed under the name uncultured bacterium. Its description in RNAcentral is "partial 16S ribosomal RNA". It matches the Rfam family "Bacterial small subunit ribosomal RNA", at positions 29 to 507 of the family's 1533-position model. The record is from RNAcentral.
AACGAACGCUGGCGGCAUGCCUAACACAUGCAAGUCGAACGAGACCUUCGGGUCUAGUGGCGCACGGGUGCGUAACGCGUGGGAACCUGCCUUUAGGUUCGGAAUAACUCAGGGAAAUUUGAGCUAAUACCGGACGAUGUCUUCGGACCAAAGAUUUAUCGCCUUUAGAUGGGCCCGCGUUGGAUUAGCUAGUUGGUGGGGUAAAGGCCUACCAAGGCGACGAUCCAUAGCUGGUCUGAGAGGAUGAUCAGCCACACUGGGACUGAGACACGGCCCAGACUCCUACGGGAGGCAGCAGUGGGGAAUAUUGGACAAUGGGCGAAAGCCUGAUCCAGCAAUGCCGCGUGAGUGAUGAAGGCCUUAGGGUUGUAAAGCUCUUUUACCCGAGAUGAUAAUGACAGUAUCGGGAGAAUAAGCUCCGGCUAACUCCGUG